GGGAACCUGGAUGCAGCGACGCCGCGUGAGCGAAGAAGUAUUUCGGUAUGUAAAGCUCUAUCAGCAAGGAAGAUAAUGACGGUACUUGACUAAGAAGCUCCGGCUAAAUACGUGCCAGCAGCCGCGGUAAUACAAA
RNAcentral lists this ribosomal RNA (136 nucleotides) under uncultured Lachnospira sp. Its description in RNAcentral is "partial 16S ribosomal RNA". It matches the Rfam family "Bacterial small subunit ribosomal RNA", at positions 376 to 529 of the family's 1533-position model. The record is from RNAcentral. Lineage: Bacteria; Bacillati; Bacillota; Clostridia; Lachnospirales; Lachnospiraceae.